AUUGAACGCUGGCGGCAGGCUUAACACAUGCAAGUCGAACGCCCCGCAAGGGGAGUGGCAGACGGGUGAGUAACGCGUGGGAAUCUACCCAGUUCUACGGAAUAACCCAGGGAAACUUGGACUAAUACCGUAUACGCCCUACGGGGGAAAGAUUUAUCGGAAUUGGAUGAGCCCGCGUUGGAUUAGCUAGUUGGUGGGGUAAUGGCCUACCAAGGCGACGAUCCAUAGCUGGUCUGAGAGGAUGAUCAGCCACACUGGGACUGAGACACGGCCCAGACUCCUACGGGAGGCAGCAGUGGGGAAUAUUGGACAAUGGGCGCAAGCCUGAUCCAGCCAUGCCGCGUGAGUGAUGAAGGCCUUAGGGUUGUAAAGCUCUUUCAGUGGGGACGAUAAUGACGGUACCCACAGAAGAAGCCCCGGCUAACUUCGUGCCAGCCGCCGCUGUAA
RNAcentral lists this ribosomal RNA (447 nucleotides) under uncultured bacterium. Its description in RNAcentral is "partial 16S ribosomal RNA". It matches the Rfam family "Bacterial small subunit ribosomal RNA", at positions 30 to 523 of the family's 1533-position model. The record is from RNAcentral.